CCUACGGGUGGCAGCAGUGGGGAAUAUUGCACAAUGGGGGGAACCCUGAUGCAGCGACGCCGCGUGAGUGAAGAAGUAUUUCGGUAUGUAAAGCUCUAUCAGCAGGGAAGAAAAUGACGGUACCUGCCUAAGAAGCCCCGGCUAACUACGUGCCAGCCGCCGCGGUAAUACGUAGGGGGCAAGCGUUAUCCGGAUUUACUGGGUGUAAAGGGAGCGCAGACGGAUGUGCAAGUCUGGAGUGAAAGGCGGGGGCCCAACCCCCGGACUGCUCUGGAAACUGUAAAGCUGGAGUGCAGGAGAGGUAAGCGGAAUUCCUAGUGUAGCGGUGAAAUGCGUAGAUAUUAGGAGGAACACCAGUGGCGAAGGCGGCUUACUGGACUGCAACUGACGUUGAGGCUCGAAAGCGUGGGGAGCAAACAGGAUUAGAUACCCGGGUAGUC
Molecule: ribosomal RNA, 440 nt
Filed under: uncultured bacterium
Lineage: Bacteria
Description: partial 16S ribosomal RNA
Rfam family: Bacterial small subunit ribosomal RNA
Source: RNAcentral